UGGGGAAUUUUGCACAAUGGGGGAAACCCUGAUGCAGCGACGCCGCGUGAUUUAGAAGGCCUUCGGGUUGUAAAAAUCUUUUGUAUGGGAAGAAAAUGACAGUACCAUACGAAUAAGGACCGGCUAAUUACGUGCCAGCAGCCGCGGUAAUACGUAAGGUCCGAGCGUUGUCCGGAAUCAUUUGGCGUAAAGGGUACGUAGGCGGAUAAGCAAGUUAGAAGUGAAAUCCUAUAGCUUAACUAUAGUAAGCUUUUAAAACUGCUCAUCUUUAUGUAUUGCAGGGAAAUUGUAAUUCCUAGUGUAGCGGUGAAAUCCGCAGCUCUUAGGAGGAAUCCCGGUGGCGAAGGCGACUUUCUGGCCAUAUACUGACGCUGAGGUACGAAAGCGUGGGUAGCAAACCGG
RNAcentral lists this ribosomal RNA (402 nucleotides) under Verrucomicrobiota bacterium. RNAcentral describes it as "Verrucomicrobia bacterium partial 16S ribosomal RNA". It matches the Rfam family "Bacterial small subunit ribosomal RNA", at positions 355 to 776 of the family's 1533-position model. The record is from RNAcentral. Lineage: Bacteria; Pseudomonadati; Verrucomicrobiota.